Molecule: ribosomal RNA, 395 nt
Filed under: uncultured bacterium
Lineage: Bacteria
Description: bacterial SSU rRNA
Rfam family: Bacterial small subunit ribosomal RNA
Source: RNAcentral
AUUGAACGCUGGCGGCAUGCCUUACACAUGCAAGUCGAACGGCAGCGGGCCUUCGGGUGCCGGCGAGUGGCGAACGGGUGAGUAAUGCAUCGGAACGUGCCAUUGAGUGGGGGAUAACGUAGCGAAAGUUGCGCUAAUACCGCAUAUUCUGUGAGCAGGAAAGCAGGGGACCGCAAGGCCUUGCGCUCUUUGAGCGGCCGAUGUCAGAUUAGCUAGUUGGUGAGGUAAAGGCUCACCAAGGCGACGAUCUGUAGCGGGUCUGAGAGGAUGAUCCGCCACACUGGAACUGAGACACGGUCCAGACUCCUACGGGAGGCAGCAGUGGGGAAUUUUGGACAAUGGGCGCAAGCCUGAUCCAGCCAUGCCGCGUGAGUGAAGAAGGCCUCGGUUGUAAG